This is an unclassified non-coding RNA of Fukomys damarensis (Damara mole-rat), 150 nucleotides long. The record is from Ensembl. NCBI's taxonomy places the organism in Eukaryota, Metazoa, Chordata, Mammalia, Rodentia, Bathyergidae.
UCCUCCGACCUUGCUUCCCUCCUCUUUUGUCCCCAACGAGCAAACAGGAAGGAAUGUUUAUUAAUAAGGCUGACUGGGGUCACACCCAAGGCAAUAUCAGGUUUUUACCUCUCCCGGGCUUGGGACAAGGUUCAAGGAUCAAGGCCAGCU